Molecule: non-coding RNA, 484 nt
Organism: Salvia hispanica
Lineage: Eukaryota; Viridiplantae; Streptophyta; Magnoliopsida; Lamiales; Lamiaceae
Source: RefSeq, a predicted model, not a curated record
AAAAAAAGACAGUAUAAUCUACAUCUAGAACAACUUUUAAGUGUCUAGUAUAUACAACUUGUACAAAAUUUAUCUACAUUGAGCAAAGCUACUAAACAAGGCCUUCUCGACUAAGAGAAUCAUACUUGAUCCCGAGAGUCGACCAUAUAGAGCUCCUCGCAGCUUCUUAUCCAUCCUCAACGACAACGUCUUCGGCACCACAACCUCCCCACUCCUCGACUCAGCAUCCGCCGCUGCCAGAUUCCAACCAUUCCACAAAUAGUACGGCAUUGGAGGGAACGGCCAUGAAAAUCCAUGGCUUGGCGCUCCUCUGUUGCCAGAACAAAAUAUGAUAUAAACAGGAAAGCAAAGCAUGAAAAAGGAGCAAUACUUCCAAACUGGCUGGAUUUGCUUUGAAUCUUUAAAACAGGGGAAUAGUCCCAACUCAGGAAAUUCAGAGCAAAAACUAGACACUUUGACUAAUAAAAAUUCAGUGGUUUGAAUA